GACAGAGGUGCCGAGCGUUAGGCGGAAUCACUGGGCUUAAAACGUGUGUAGGCGGAUCUGUAAGUACCUUGUGAAAUCCCACGGCUCAACCGUGGAACUGCUUGGUAUACUGCGGGUCUUGAGCCACCUAGGGGCAAGUGGAACAAACGGUGGAGCGGUGAAAUGCGUAGAUAUCGUUUGGAACGCCAAUGGUGAAAACAACUUGCUGGGGGUGUGCUGACGCUGAGACACGAAAGCCAGGGGAGCAAACGGG
Molecule: ribosomal RNA, 253 nt
Filed under: uncultured bacterium
Lineage: Bacteria
Description: partial 16S ribosomal RNA
Rfam family: Bacterial small subunit ribosomal RNA
Source: RNAcentral